RNAcentral lists this ribosomal RNA (253 nucleotides) under uncultured bacterium. RNAcentral's name for it is "partial 16S ribosomal RNA". It matches the Rfam family "Bacterial small subunit ribosomal RNA", at positions 524 to 776 of the family's 1533-position model. The record is from RNAcentral.
UACGUAGGGUGCGAACGUUGUUCGGAAUCACUGGGCAUAAAGAGCGCGUAGGCGGUCCAAUAAGUCCUGUGUGAAAGACCCCGGCUUAACCGAGGAAUUGCACAGGAUACUGUUGGGCUAGAGUGCAGGAGGGGAGAGCGGAAUUCCUGGUGGAGCGGUGAAAUGCGUAGAUAUCAGGAGGAACGCCAGCGGCGAAAGCGGCUCUCUGGUCUGUUACUGACGCUGAGGCGCGAAAGCUAGGGGAGCAAACGGG